Molecule: transfer RNA, 69 nt
Filed under: Marmota monax (woodchuck)
Lineage: Eukaryota; Metazoa; Chordata; Mammalia; Rodentia; Sciuridae
Description: tRNA.Ala
Source: RNAcentral
GCGGAUAACUCAGUGGUAGAGCACUUGCCUAGCAUGUGUGAGGUCCUGGGUUCAAUACCCAGCACUACA